Molecule: microRNA precursor, 86 nt
Filed under: Mustela putorius furo (domestic ferret)
Lineage: Eukaryota; Metazoa; Chordata; Mammalia; Carnivora; Mustelidae
Description: miRNA (ENSMPUG00000023436.1)
Source: RNAcentral
UCACCUGGAGCUCUCAUUGAAAUGCAGAUUCUGAUUCAGUAGGUUGGGGUGGGAUUCUGCAAUUCUAACAAGCUCCCAGGUGAUGC